Molecule: non-coding RNA, 72 nt
Organism: Merluccius polli (Benguela hake)
Lineage: Eukaryota; Metazoa; Chordata; Actinopteri; Gadiformes; Merlucciidae
Source: the annotation of a GenBank genome assembly
GCAGGAGAGUCUAGUUGUUAGGGUGUUUGACUCCCAGCCUAAAGGUUCUGGGUUCAAACCCCAAUGUCUGCA